UAGGGAAUCUUCCGCAAUGGACGCAAGUCUGACGGAGCAACGCCGCGUGAGUGAAGAAGGAUUUCGGUUCGUAAAACUCUUUUGUUAGAGAAGAACAGCGCAUAGAGUAACUGUUAUGCGUGUGACGGUAUCUAACCAGAAAGCCACGGCUAACUACGUGCCAGCAGCCGCGGUAAUACGUAGGUGGCAAGCGUUGUCCGGAUUUAUUGGGCGUAAAGCGAGCGCAGGCGGUCAAUUAAGUCUGAUGUGAAAGCCCCCGGCUCAACCGGGGAGGGUCAUUGGAAACUGGUUGACUUGAGUGCAGAAGAGGAGAGUGGAAUUCCAUGUGUAGCGGUGAAAUGCGUAGAUAUAUGGAGGAACACCAGUGGCGAAGGCGACUCUCUGGUCUGUAACUGACGCUGAGGUUCGAAAGCGUGGGUAGCAAACAGG
This 429-nucleotide ribosomal RNA is filed under the name Bacteroidota bacterium. RNAcentral describes it as "Bacteroidetes bacterium partial 16S ribosomal RNA". It matches the Rfam family "Bacterial small subunit ribosomal RNA", at positions 355 to 776 of the family's 1533-position model. Lineage: Bacteria; Pseudomonadati; Bacteroidota. The record is from RNAcentral.